AGAGUUUGAUCCUGGCUCAGGAUAAACGCUGGCGGCGCACAUAAGACAUGCAAGUCGAACGGACUUAACCGAAGUAUUUAUAUUUUGGAGCGGUUAGUGGCGGACUGGUGAGUAACACGUAAGCAACCUGCCUAUUAGAGGGGAAUAACAGUGAGAAAUCAUUGCUAAUACCGCAUAUGCUGUGAGUAUCGCAUGGUACAAACAGGAAAGGAGCAAUCCGCUAAUAGAUGGGCUUGCGUCUGAUUAGAUAGUUGGUGGGGUAAAGGCCUACCAAGUCAACGAUCAGUAGCCGAACUGAGAGGUUGAACGGCCACAUUGGGACUGAGAUACGGCCCAGACUCCUACGGGAGGCAGCAGUCGGGAAUAUUGCACAAUGGAGGAAACUCUGAUGCAGUGACGCCGCGUGCAGGAAGAAGGUUUUCGGAUUGUAAACUGCUUUAGACAGGGAAGAAACAAGACAGUACCUGUAGAAUAAGCUCCGGCUAACUACGUGCCAGCAGCCGCGGU
RNAcentral lists this ribosomal RNA (507 nucleotides) under uncultured bacterium. RNAcentral's name for it is "bacterial SSU rRNA". It matches the Rfam family "Bacterial small subunit ribosomal RNA", at positions 8 to 521 of the family's 1533-position model. The record is from RNAcentral.